CAGUAGCCGCGGUAAUACGUAGGUCCCGAGCGUUGUCCGGAUUUAUUGGGCGUAAAGCGAGCGCAGGCGGUUAGAUAAGUCUGAAGUUAAAGGCUGUGGCUUAACCAUAGUACGCUUUGGAAACUGUUUAACUUGAGUGCAAGAGGGGAGAGUGGAAUUCCAUGUGUAGCGGUGAAAUGCGUAGAUAUAUGGAGGAACACCGGUGGCGAAAGCGGCUCUCUGGCUUGUAACUGGCGCUGAGGCUCGAAAGCGUGGGGAGCAAACAGGAUUAGAUACCCCGGUAGUCCCUGUCUCUUAUACA
RNAcentral lists this ribosomal RNA (301 nucleotides) under uncultured bacterium. Its description in RNAcentral is "partial 16S ribosomal RNA". It matches the Rfam family "Bacterial small subunit ribosomal RNA", at positions 509 to 808 of the family's 1533-position model. The record is from RNAcentral.